This 1265-nucleotide ribosomal RNA is filed under the name Lactiplantibacillus plantarum. Its description in RNAcentral is "bacterial SSU rRNA". It matches the Rfam family "Bacterial small subunit ribosomal RNA", at positions 140 to 1392 of the family's 1533-position model. Lineage: Bacteria; Bacillati; Bacillota; Bacilli; Lactobacillales; Lactobacillaceae. The record is from RNAcentral.
GGGAUAACACCUGGAAACAGAUGCUAAUACCGCAUAACAACUUGGACCGCAUGGUCCGAGCUUGAAAGAUGGCUUCGGCUAUCACUUUUGGAUGGUCCCGCGGCGUAUUAGCUAGAUGGUGGGGUAACGGCUCACCAUGGCAAUGAUACGUAGCCGACCUGAGAGGGUAAUCGGCCACAUUGGGACUGAGACACGGCCCAAACUCCUACGGGAGGCAGCAGUAGGGAAUCUUCCACAAUGGACGAAAGUCUGAUGGAGCAACGCCGCGUGAGUGAAGAAGGGUUUCGGCUCGUAAAACUCUGUUGUUAAAGAAGAACAUAUCUGAGAGUAACUGUUCAGGUAUUGACGGUAUUUAACCAGAAAGCCACGGCUAACUACGUGCCAGCAGCCGCGGUAAUACGUAGGUGGCAAGCGUUGUCCGGAUUUAUUGGGCGUAAAGCGAGCGCAGGCGGUUUUUUAAGUCUGAUGUGAAAGCCUUCGGCUCAACCGAAGAAGUGCAUCGGAAACUGGGAAACUUGAGUGCAGAAGAGGACAGUGGAACUCCAUGUGUAGCGGUGAAAUGCGUAGAUAUAUGGAAGAACACCAGUGGCGAAGGCGGCUGUCUGGUCUGUAACUGACGCUGAGGCUCGAAAGUAUGGGUAGCAAACAGGAUUAGAUACCCUGGUAGUCCAUACCGUAAACGAUGAAUGCUAAGUGUUGGAGGGUUUCCGCCCUUCAGUGCUGCAGCUAACGCAUUAAGCAUUCCGCCUGGGGAGUACGGCCGCAAGGCUGAAACUCAAAGGAAUUGACGGGGGCCCGCACAAGCGGUGGAGCAUGUGGUUUAAUUCGAAGCUACGCGAAGAACCUUACCAGGUCUUGACAUACUAUGCAAAUCUAAGAGAUUAGACGUUCCCUUCGGGGACAUGGAUACAGGUGGUGCAUGGUUGUCGUCAGCUCGUGUCGUGAGAUGUUGGGUUAAGUCCCGCAACGAGCGCAACCCUUAUUAUCAGUUGCCAGCAUUAAGUUGGGCACUCUGGUGAGACUGCCGGUGACAAACCGGAGGAAGGUGGGGAUGACGUCAAAUCAUCAUGCCCCUUAUGACCUGGGCUACACACGUGCUACAAUGGAUGGUACAACGAGUUGCGAACUCGCGAGAGUAAGCUAAUCUCUUAAAGCCAUUCUCAGUUCGGAUUGUAGGCUGCAACUCGCCUACAUGAAGUCGGAAUCGCUAGUAAUCGCGGAUCAGCAUGCCGCGGUGAAUACGUUCCCGGGCCUUGUACACACCG